GUCUGUUUGUAGAUAUAAAGAGUUUAACCUGCCCACUGAUAAAAUUUAAGGGCCGCGGUAUUUUGACCGUGCAAAGGUAGCAUAAUCGUUAGUUUUUUAAUUGGAAUCUUGUAUGAAUGGUUGGACAAAGGAAAAUCUGUCUCUAUGGCUAUAAAGUGAAUUUAACUUUUAAGUGAAAAGGCUUAAAUGAAUUAAAGGGACGAUAAGACCCUAUAAAGCUUGAUAUGUAAGUUUUAUUUAGUUGAAUUUUUAUGAUAUAAAGGUUUAGUGAUUUAGAAGUAUUGUAUUGGGGCGAUAAAGGUAAAAUGAUUGUUAACUGCUUAUUGUUUAAACAAAGGUAGGUGAUUAGAAUUGUAAAGGAUCCUAGUUAUGGAUUAAAAGAUUAAGUUACUUUAGGGAUAACAGCGUUAUUUUUUUUGAGAGUCCAUAUCGAGAAAAAAGUUUGCGACCUCGAUGUUGAAUUAAAAUAUCUGUACAAUUGCAGUAGUUGUAUAAGAAGGUCUGUUCGACCUUUAAAUUUUUACAUGAUUUGAGUUCAGACCGGCGUGAGCCAGGUCGGUUUCUAUCUUUUAAUAUUACAAUAGCUGU
This 588-nucleotide ribosomal RNA is filed under the name Cardisoma armatum. RNAcentral's name for it is "partial 16S ribosomal RNA". It matches the Rfam family "Bacterial large subunit ribosomal RNA", at positions 1831 to 2663 of the family's 2925-position model. Lineage: Eukaryota; Metazoa; Arthropoda; Malacostraca; Decapoda; Gecarcinidae. The record is from RNAcentral.